Long non-coding RNA from Betta splendens (Siamese fighting fish), 1306 nucleotides. RefSeq lists it as uncharacterized. NCBI's taxonomy places the organism in Eukaryota, Metazoa, Chordata, Actinopteri, Anabantiformes, Osphronemidae. The transcript has 2 exons. The record is from RefSeq and is a predicted model, not a curated record.
UUGGCUGCUUAUUUUCCCAUCGAGAGCGUUCCAAUUGUUUACCAAUUAGUUUUAAUUUCAUUGCAGGAACUUUCAUUAGCUGUAACAAACUAAUGUGUGGCAGGGUACUGUUAGCUUAUUGCGAGAAAAGCGGUUGGAUUGUGCUUGGAUAAACUCAGAUCAUCUCACAACAAUUGUAAUUCUUUUUUUAUCUGAAUUCAAGGAAAGUAAUAUUCUUAAGGCACUGCAGGAUUAAAUGAUCUAUAAAAAUAGACUUUUCUUCUGUUUGUCUGGUGCCUGCAUUACCUUUGCUUCGGUCUCUCUCCGCCCACCAUACAGUAUGGCCAAGUAUACCCUCACCCUUGAUGCUAAACCACCUACAGUACUAUAGGCGCAAACACCCCUAUCCUCAUGCAUGCAGGAGGAACGCAGCGUAAACCACAGGGAAACCACGGGUCCCGGUCCAAUAGGGCAUCGCAGGGUGGGCUCCAGACCCGGCGGUGUGUGGCGUCUACCCAUGUGAGGGCACUCGUGCUACUCCACUUCCGCGGACCAUCAGAGACGUCCGGGCCUGUUUUGACUGAUUGGCGUUUGGCGUGGGAAGAUAAAAGAGCUGCCGGAACGACUACAGCGAUCAGGAAAGUGUUCUUCAUAGAGAAAAGAACCGUAUUUCCCCGCAGAUGUUUUUCAGGACAAGAUUAACUUUGUUUUUGCUUCUGCCAGUUUUCCGAAUCUCUUCUGAUACCUCAGUUAAUAAUAUAAUGUUUGGUGAGCCAGGGAUACAUUUGCAGAUGGGAGAAAAUGACUGUACCUAAGGUUUUAAGCAUAGAAUAUGGAUUAAAGGACGUGUGUUCUCUUCUGUUCUGUUUUAUCAUUACUUUUCUACUGAUAUAUUUAAAACAAACCAAUGCCAAACUUCUUUGUGGGUCUUUUAUGUUUCUCAAAGAACGUGUCUACGCGUCAACCUCCGUGAGGUGGAUAUUUACAGUAUGCCCUAUACUGUAGAUAUUUACGCUGCGCAUGGCUGCAGUGAUGAAGGCUGCAUCCUCAUCCUCAAUAAGACUGAGCUCAUUAAUAACAUAAAUCUGUGCCUUUAACCUGAGCAAGGAACAGAUACAGGCACAUCAGUGCAACCUUUAGGGUACGUUGGCUCUCCUUCAUGAGACCUGAGCAGACGUGAGCCUGAUAAUUCACUGACCCGCUCGGUCGACCCGAAACACACUAAUCAUAUUUGCACAAACAUAAGCACUUUAACUUUAUUCAGAUAUGCAAAUGAGACUUGAUACCGGUGCAAGUCAAACUCUGAGAAGUUUUUUUUUUUUUUUUU